Non-coding RNA from Chrysemys picta bellii (western painted turtle), 3958 nucleotides. NCBI's taxonomy places the organism in Eukaryota, Metazoa, Chordata, Testudines, Emydidae. The record is from RefSeq and is a predicted model, not a curated record.
GAAACUUUCCAAAGUAAUUUAGCUUGAGGCAGACACCCAGCAUGGAAAAUUUCACCCAGGACGGUUAACAUUUGACAAAGUUAUAAGCAGCUGAAAACUGGGUCUUUAUAAUGGGAAGUGUCAAGCAACCUUAAUGACAAGUGAGGCUACCAGCCCUCCUUCUCCCCAAUAAUAACACCACGAGGGCUGAACAUUGACAGAGGAGGGACACACUGUUGUCUAAAACUUUUGGAAAACUGAUAAUCACCAAAAUUGGAAAAGGAAUAAUUUAGAAUGGCCAAUUUAGCUAGGAAAACCAACAUAAAACUUGAAAGGGAAAACCAGGCUGAAUAUCACAAAAAAACCCCAAAACAAAUAAAUAAAUAUCAAUGGAGGCCUCUUAAAUUGAGAAAUUGUCUCCCAAAAGAGGUGAUGGAAGCCCUGUAACUUGAGUAAUUUGAAAUGAAACCGGACAAUAUCCUGGACAAAACCCUAACCGUGAAAAUAUCCUACACUAAGAACAUUCCUGUACUGGCAGGGGAAUUGGAGGGGAAGAUCUAAAAUGUCUUUUCCAUCUUUGACUUCUGAUUAUACAGUUGCAGUUUGCAGUGAACCUGAAAUAACAGAAUUACAAAGGGAAAAAUAUUGCCAUGGCAACAAAAUAUUUCUAUUUAAAGUGAGUGAGGUCUCAAAAAAAAUAAUGAUAGAAUUUAAACAGAAACAGACUUUAUAAAAUAAGGAAGAAAAUAACUAUUUUUAAAAAAUCAUAACUUAGCCUAACUUGUAAUGAAGCAUAUACCCAGAACUCCCCCCCCACAAUCCAGUUAUUCUUAGCGCUUGAAGGAAAUACCUUAAAAAUGUAGACCAAUGUUUUACACAUCUGGCGACUUAGACUUAGACGUCACAGCCUGAGUUCCAGUCUAAGCUGCAACAUCAAAGCACUGUCUAUACAGUAUCUUUAGAGCACUAGUAUGAGCCCCAAUAGCCUGAGUCUAUUGACCCAAGCUGAGAGCCUUGCUCCAAAAUGCAUGUAGACAGAUCCAGAGAGAUUAAGCAACUUGCUCAAGGUCAUAUGGCAACUCGGUGUCAGAGCUGGAAAUAGAAUUUAAACAAUCUUGGCUCCAAGUUCAGUCUACUAGACCAUGUUGCCUUUCAGUAUAAACUACACCAAAACAGCGUAAGUCACUAUAAAUCAUUUCCCUUUUUCCUUUACCCUGCUCCAUGAAAAACUGCAGUGUAUUCAAUUAUCUGGCCUCUUCUCUAACUACAGUAAUCAAUGUUCUCCACUAGGGAUUCCAUUUGAGAUAGCCCUUCUGCAAACUACACCCAAAAUUGUAGGGUAAAAAUCAACGCCUUGUUUUAAUCUCUGAUCUCCAAUAGCUUUUCCAGCCGCCAUUUCAAGAGCAGGCAGCUAGAAAGGAACUCAUUUUUCCUCCCCCAUCUCUUAUUGGGAGAGUUCUGACGGGUUGUUCUCUAAGAGAACAUAACCCAUUUUCCAGGAAAUGGCUAUUGAUACACAUAUUUUGUAUUGUAAAUAUAUUUGAUUCUUUUGCACCACCAUUUCUGUGAUUCUCUUGACAGAGGGGCUCUUUGGCUGUUGAAGGCUGACUGCCAAAGCUCUAGGGAACUAGACCUUCUUCCAAAAGCUCCACUCUUAAAGAUAACAUAGAAAGAAACAUUUAAGCAAAUAAUUAAAAUGAUUAAUUUUUUUGGAGAAUGCUAAGUGCAGCUGUUAGUUCUUAAAUUACUCUUUUUAUUUUAUUUUUUAAAGAAAAGGAGCAGAGAUGAGACACAACCAAAACUCUGGAUCUGAACUAACAAGAUUUUUUGGGUGUACAAAAACUUGUUCAAAAUGAUGUGUCCCUCAACACAGGUGCACAAUUCUGUCUCAGCAACUUUAGGAUACUAUCCUCUGACAUGCUAAGUAACUCUUGCAAAAUCUUAAAUGCCCUCAUCUUCCACUGAAGACAACAGGAAUUAAAGGUGCUGAACACCUCACCAAAUUAUGCCAUUAGAAGCUAGAUUGGCACCCCUGAAAAUUGGUGGUUGAGACAGGGUGUACAAAUUCUGCACCAGGCAAGGAGUUAAACUGCAGCUUUGGGCUCCUGUGCCCUCGCCCUGCCACUCCUGCGAGGCUUGCCAAUCUUGAAGGAGGAGCCUUAAAAAGAGAGAAGCUCAAUUCAGAAGGUCCAAGCCUGGUGAGGUGGACAGACCUCUUGCCCUCCUGCUUUCAGAGAGGAAUAUCACAAAGAACCAAGCUACCUUGGGUUGCCUGUGAGAACGGAGCAACAGGACAGACAGCUAAAGGAUCUGGGUGGGACAGAGAAGCUGAAGCCAUUCCUUAUUACUGUUAAUUUAGUUUCUUUUCCUUUGUUACCUUGAGAACUGAAUCUAGGAGCUGGGCCCUGGAGCAAACUCCUGCUGAGAAUAUGAAUCCCCCUGAGGAGAAGAUGACUGUGCUGUAGAAAGAGUUAUUUACUACAGGUUCUUGGGCUGGAACCAGCAUAGAGGGAGGUACUGCAUUCCCUAAAGCCUCACCAGGAGGACUAGCCAGAAGAUCCCAAACACAAGGGGCCAGAAAAGACAAUUGAGCCUAGGACUAUGGGGUGAAAACCCUGGUUAACCCUGCAAGGUGUGAGGCCAAAGGUGACCCAGCUGGAGGAUCAGAUCAUAAGGCAAAAGGGGACUACCAGUGGACGAAACCCUGCAACACUGCUCCUUGUCACAAGGGGUGCUGUGUUUGGCCAGAGCUAUUGAAACAGCCCUCCUGAGCUUCACUUUGAGAAGGAUAAAAAAGAAAUUCUGCUGCAGGUUCUUGAGAACUCCUUUGAUUCUAAUAACUGAGACUAUAUUGAGGUAUGUGAUGCUUUAUUGACCACUUCCAUUGCAUGCAUUGCCAUGCCAGUACUAACUAUACUUACAAGGUCAAGUCUAAUUAUUCAGGGACACAUUGUAAAAACUGAGAUGGAUGCUAGUAGGGAGGGAUUCUUCUUUGAUUGUUGGGUGUGCAGGGAGGACUUAUUUCUUGCUCUCUGGGGAGUGCAGGUCCUGCAUUGGUGCUCCACUACUGUGCAGGGACAUAAAGGCAGGAUCAGAGGAGGUAGACCUUGUGCCCCUGUGGGACACAGUCAAGAGCAUGCAGAAAAAGAAUGUGGGGACCUGACUCAAUGAGAACAGUGUGACAGAAUGGUGGUGUUUUUCACACAACUUGUUAGUUCCAGAACUUUUGUUUUGAUUUACAGAAAUAUAGAUAUAUUUUCAGUCAUCCGAUUACUGAACAUUUCUCUGCAGUGAGGACAAUUGUUUCUAGGCCUUUUGGAGGAAUCAUGUUACAUUUCUUUUACAGUAUAUAUGAGAAAUUGUUUCUCACAUGGUAAAUCAUUUCAUGUUUUUUAAAUUUUCAUUUAUCGCAGCCUGGAGAGUAAAACUAAAUCCUUGAAUUAUACCGUACACUACAGAGUAAAAUGAUCACAGCAACACAAUGCGUCUUUGCCUUAACAACAAAAAUAUGUGGUGCUCCUUUUAAAGUAUAUUUAUUAAGCUUUUUUUGUAAACUGUCUCCCCCUUCCUCCCUUUUUUGAGGGAGUUUCUUUGAUUGACUAUAGCAAUUUGUCGCACACCAAUAGAAACAGUGAUUAUAUCUACAAUAUGCCUACAAUGAGAGAUUCACCUAAAUAAAUAUCCUGUUCUGAAUCACAUGUGAUUUGUAUAUAACACAUUUAAUUUAAUAGAUGCAUAUAUUUUAAAGCCAGAAGGGACCAUUAUGAUCAUGUGGUCUGACCUUUCCUACAGACCAUAGCAUUUCACUUGCGUAGAGUAAAAUAACUUGUGAUUGAAGUAAAGCAUAUGUUUUAUGCAGAAAUCUGAUCUUAAUUUAAAGAGGUCAUGUGCAUUUGGUUAUCUACAAUGACCCCAUAGUCGUUCCCAGAGUCACUGCUUUCCAGAAAUAUAAUCCCCCAUCCUGUAAGUAUGGUCUGCA